RNAcentral lists this ribosomal RNA (305 nucleotides) under uncultured bacterium. Its description in RNAcentral is "bacterial SSU rRNA". It matches the Rfam family "Bacterial small subunit ribosomal RNA", at positions 337 to 634 of the family's 1533-position model. The record is from RNAcentral.
GCCUACGGGGGGCAGCAGUAGGGAAUCUUCCACAAUGGGCGAAAGCCUGAUGGAGCAACGCCGCGUGGGUGAAGAAGGUCUUCGGAUCGUAAAACCCUGUUGUUAGAGAAGAAAGUGCGUGAGAGUAACUGUUCACGUUUCGACGGUAUCUAACCAGAAAGCCACGGCUAACUACGUGCCAGCAGCCGCGGUAAUACGUAGGUGGCAAGCGUUAUCCGGAUUUAUUGGGCGUAAAGGGAACGCAGGCGGUCUUUCAAGUCUGAUGUGAAAGCCUUCGGCUUAACCGGAGUAGUGCAUUGGAAACU